GGCACCUGCAAGCAAGCUCCAGCAGAAUCUCCGUUUCCAUUACAGUUGUAGACGAAGUCUAAAAUAGCUCUGAGGCAUUCUGCUCUAUUUGAGUAUUGCAAAGCACUCCAAGAGUUGGUUUAAUCUCGGUGAUGAAGACUAAAAAAGAACUACCUUUUGCAAUACAUGCAUGUUUGCUAGAAAGGGUACAAAUCACUGCUUCGCUCUUGAGUUAUUAGUUUCAUUGUAUACUCUGUUUCAUGGCUGCUGCAUAUUUUUAGUUGAAGCUUCCAAUUAUUUGACAGUAAAGUAAUGCUUCAUCUAAUUUCAUAAAUACUAGAAACAUUGUUUCUAAGCGGCAAAUUCUUA
This is a long non-coding RNA of Lolium rigidum, 348 nucleotides long. RefSeq lists it as uncharacterized. The record is from RefSeq and is a predicted model, not a curated record. The transcript is spliced from 3 exons. Lineage: Eukaryota; Viridiplantae; Streptophyta; Magnoliopsida; Poales; Poaceae.